RNAcentral lists this ribosomal RNA (427 nucleotides) under uncultured bacterium. Its description in RNAcentral is "bacterial SSU rRNA". It matches the Rfam family "Bacterial small subunit ribosomal RNA", at positions 355 to 774 of the family's 1533-position model. The record is from RNAcentral.
UGGGGAAUUUUGGACAAUGGGCGAAAGCCUGAUCCAGCAAUGCCGCGUGUGUGAAGAAGGCCUUCGGGUUGUAAAGCACUUUUGUCCGGAAAGAAAUCCUUGGCUCUAAUACAGUCGGGGGAUGACGGUACCGGAAGAAUAAGCACCGGCUAACUACGUGCCAGCAGCCGCGGUAAUACGUAGGGUGCGAGCGUUAAUCGGAAUUACUGGGCGUAAAGCGUGCGCAGGCGGUUUGCUAAGACCGAUGUGAAAUCCCCGGGCUCAACCUGGGAACUGCAUUGGUGACUGGCAGGCUAGAGUAUGGCAGAGGGGGGUAGAAUUCCACGUGUAGCAGUGAAAUGCGUAGAGAUGUGGAGGAAUACCUAUGGCGAAGGCAGCCCCCUGGGCCAAUACUGACGCUCAUGCACGAAAGCGUGGGGAGCAAACA